This 450-nucleotide ribosomal RNA is filed under the name uncultured bacterium. Its description in RNAcentral is "partial 16S ribosomal RNA". It matches the Rfam family "Bacterial small subunit ribosomal RNA", at positions 354 to 796 of the family's 1533-position model. The record is from RNAcentral.
GUGGGGAAUUUUGGACAAUGGGCGCAAGCCUGAUCCAGCAAUGCCGCGUGCAGGAAGAAGGCCUUCGGGUUGUAAACUGCUUUUGUACGGAACGAAACGGUCCUGGUUAAUACCUGGGGCUAAUGACGGUACCGUAAGAAUAAGCACCGGCUAACUACGUGCCAGCAGCCGCGGUAAUACGUAGGGUGCGAGCGUUAAUCGGAAUUACUGGGCGUAAAGCGUGCGCAGGCGGUUAUAUAAGACAGAUGUGAAAUCCCCGGGCUCAACCUGGGAACUGCAUUAGUGACUGUAUAGCUGGAGUGCGGCAGAGGGGGAUGGAAUUCCGCGUGUAGCAGUGAAAUGCGUAGAUAUGCGGAGGAACACCGAUGGCGAAGGCAAUCCCCUGGGCCUGCACUGACGCUCAUGCACGAAAGCGUGGGGAGCAAACAGGAUUAGAUACCCGUGUAGUCC